AGUGAACGCUGGCGGCGUGCCUAAUACAUGCAAGUCGAACGCGAAAGUCCUUCGGGAUGAGUAAAGUGGCGCACGGGUGAGUAAUGCAUAAGAACAUGCCCUUAGAUGGGGAAUAACGUUUGGAAACGAACGCUAAUACCGCAUAAUCUCGAGAGAGGAAAGGUGGCGCCGCAAGGGCUACCGGCUAAGGAUUGGCUUAUGUCCCAUUAGCUAGUUGGCGGGGUAAUGGCCCACCAAGGCAACGAUGGGUAUGUGGUCUGAGAGGAUGAUCGCACACACUGGAACUGAGACACGGUCCAGACUCCUACGGGAGGCAGCAGUAGGGAAUAUUGCACAAUGGGGGAAACCCUGAUGCAGCAACGCCGCGUGAGUGAAGAAGGCCCUUGGGUUGUAAAGCUCUUUAGCGAGGGAAGAGGGUAGAUACGGUGAAUAAUCGUGUCUGCUGACGGUACCUCGAGAAUAAGCACCGGCUAAUUUCGUGCCAGCCGCCGCGGUAA
Molecule: ribosomal RNA, 497 nt
Filed under: uncultured bacterium
Lineage: Bacteria
Description: partial 16S ribosomal RNA
Rfam family: Bacterial small subunit ribosomal RNA
Source: RNAcentral